CCCACUUAAGCUUAGUUUGGUAUUUAGAAAAAUAAAAUAGAAUUAGAGUUAAAACAUGUAGAAAUAUAUUUCUACGUUUUUCGGUAAAAUUGUAGAAAAUAUAUCAUAACCAACUCAUUGCAUUAUUACGUACAAAAACAAUCAUUGCAUUAUUACGUACAAAAAUAAAAUAUUUUCUCAUUGUACUUUCUCAUCACACACACGUAACUUGUACUUUCUCAUCACACACACGUAACGCAAUCUCCUGUAAGGUGCACCAAAGUCUUGGCAUUAAUCUUCUGUGACCGCAGCUUUCUCUAACACGUGCGUCCCCAAACAGUUCAAAAACCAGGAAAAGUGCAUGUACAAUAGUUGAUAAAAUUAACUUUUAAAAUAAUCAUUUUUUCCUUCAAUUUUGAAAUAAAAUACAAGCACUCAAAAGUAAUUUCCAUUCGUGCACUACUGCCCACUAAUUAUGGAAAUUUAUCCGAAUAUUUUUUCACAAUCAACACAAUUGAAAGCUUUUGAAAAAUGUGAAAGCUACAAGUGCCGGUUGUCAUCAGCACCUUCAUCGAAUACUCCUGAUGAUCCCACCCGGAAAUCGAGUUGCUUCUGAUGCUUCAGUCGACGGCGCUCAUCGAAAUCCUCCCAUCCUUCAAUCUAUUGAAGAGGAUACAGAAAUAUUAGCACACGACACAUAAAUGAGACACUAAUUUUUGCCAUUUAAUCCUAAUAUAGAGCCAAAUGUGUGCAAACAGAAUCAAGUUUGAUCAGUAUUCCAGAAAACAUAACAAACCAUGUAGGUCAUAAAGGAUGUGGAAAAGAUCAGAUGGCCUAAAUUGCCGACGAAAUCUCAUCAAGUUAACAAAUGGUUUUAACAUCUCAGGUGUUAUUCUAGAUCUGCAUAGGCUCAUAAUUGGUUCACCGUAGUCUUCUAUUGGUGAUUGCUUUUAAGGUUUUAACAAUAUUUUGGCCAGGACAAAGGUUAGGUGCAGCACCUAUAAUACAUAUGUCAUGUGGUAUUAAGAAUGAGAAAUCAGGACGUAGAUGAUGUUUCUGAUAUUAAGAAUGAGAAAUCAGAAUGUAGAUGAUGCCAUAGUCAAAUAAGACCUGGGUUGUGCUAAAAUAGAACACUGGAUUGGUAUCAAUAAACUUUCCAUACCUGCCGAAGAAUGUCAUUUGUGAUUUCUGUGCCAUGGAGAUCAAGAGUAGAGAGCUGAGAACACAUCUUGAAUAAUGUUGAAGGUAGAGAUUUAAUACCGUUGUUCCUCAGAUGCAAAGCCUGUUUCAAAAGCACAGUAUAGGUUUAAAAAAUGGAUAGCAAAAGUUUAAAUUAUAGCCGCUAUGCAAAACUAGAGAAAUCAGUACAGAUUAUAGCCAAGUAAAAGCAGCAAAACCAGAUAUUAUUAAGACAAUUAACAAUAUUAAGAAAGACAUACAUCACAGGCAAAGAGGUGCACAAUAUUAUGCAAAAACUAAAUCAAGUACAAUUAAGCAAUCACUCUACCGUUUCCAAUGGGUAACGUGUUAGGGAGAGUUUGAAUAGCAUAGGCAAAGCCUCAAGGCGCGAGGCAUAGACAUCAGAGGAAAGUCUUAACUAUAAGAAACACUGAUAAUCAUACAGGUGUUUUAUAGAGCUUGUUAACUAAUUAUCAUCUCACGUUAAUGUAGUGCAAAUAAUUACUAAUUAAAUAGCGGUGUACAAUAAAUUUUUUCCCUUUAGUAUAGUUUACAAGCAAAAAAUAAUGUAAGAAUAAAUCUUUCUGUUUCAACCCUUGUGAUUUGCUUGAAGACAUUUUUCUGUCUCUCAUUCACACUGCAAUGCCAACAUUAAUGACCUUCACAUGGUGCAUAUUCACAACCAUACAUAAUCUCACACACAGCACUCCAAGGUGCUUUGAAAGAGCCUCAUCUAAAGAAAUGAGAAGCAAAAAAAAAAAUUUCAUAAAAUUUUUCUCAAACGACUAUUUGUUUAUAAAAAUUUCCAUCAUUCAAAACUCUCAUGAAUGCUUUCACACAGACGGCAAAAAGUAAAACCUUCAAAUUGCAGAUAUCUCCAAGUGUUUCUGGUAGCUCAGCCAGAAGAUUGCAUGAUAAAUCAAUCUGCUUAAUUCAACAGCAAAUGUAGCAAAAUCAGUUUAUAUUGAAUGAAGCUUGCAUAAUCUUGCUUGACUCAAGCAUCACUUGAUAUUGCACUUUCCAAGGAUAAAAGACGCCGACCUCAAUAAGAGAACAACAAUUGCCUACAGAAGAAGGCAACGAGGUUAUCCUGCCAUCAGAAGAAAAAGCGUGUCCAAUAAAAAUUGGCAUCAAAGCACAAAAUUGUUUUACUGCAAAAAUCCAUUUGAUAGAAUAACAGAGCUAAAGUAGUACAAGCAGCAACCUUUUACCAUCACUAGGUUACGAAAUUCUCAUAUUUCUACAUUUCUUUGUAAACCUUUUGCACUCUGCACAUCCAAUCCUAGUCAAACUCACGCAACGAUGACAAACUUUAAGGACCUAUCUGACACUUUAAUCUAAAUUUUAAAAAAGAAGCUAUGAACAAACAUUUCUUCAGAUAUCAUCUCACAAAUCAAAGUUAUAGGACUUGAAUAAAAUUAGUUUAAUUAUACCCAACGAACUGUGUUAUAAACUAUCAAAAAGACAACACACAAAUCAAGAGCAGCCACAGAACUUGGCUUGCUAUCACCGUCAACCAUCAGUUUCGGAUCUUAAAAAGAUGGGUAACAAUCUCAACAUAUCUGCAGGUUCUUAUCUUUUUCUUUUUUGACUCCGCUGUUGCCCUAUUCCAGAAAUUUCUGGAAAUAUUCCAGAAUUAGAGCAUUAUGCCUCCCAUUAAGGCUACAACACUCCCAGUGAUCUCCUCUUUCCUUAGUUUGAUUCUAUAGCCUAUCCUGAUUACGCAUUUUUCUUGUUACAUUAAAAAACUCAAUUCUGACUGCAAUAAUAUUUGCAACUAUGGCAUUUCCAUCUUUUUUCCUUCUUUUUUGGGGAAAAAAUGGUUAUUAAUAUGACUAGAGAGAUAUAAAAAAUCAUCAAACUGUAUAUUCAGGAAUGCAAGUAUAACCAACAAAAACACAGAAAUGUACAAUUAUCAGAAUGCAUCACCUAUUAUUGCUUGCUAUUAGAAUUUCAAGCUGUGACAGAGACCCUAUUUCAGCUGGUAAGCUUUUCAGUUUAUUAUUAGCAAUAUGCAGUUGAUGAAGAGAUGUCAGUGAACCCAACGUGGAGGGCAGAGUAGUUAAUCUGCAAAAGGGCAUAAUAGUUAUUGCACUACAAACUUAUAGCAAUAUAUAGUUUUCCAAAAUUUGUAGAAAGACAUGGCUGGGCUAGUAAAUACAGAAUGUAUAGAAAUCCAUGAGAAAAUAAUACAACAAUUUGCAAAAUGCGAACAGAAGAACAUGGAAGUACUUUUGCUAGGUCCAUGGCUUUAGUAAUCAGGGGCUACAUGAUCUCUUUCUUUAGUAAUUGGGAAACAUAAAUAGUAAUAUCUUCCCCUCAAGCAGGCGAGGGAAAAUAAUUAUAAUAGAACAAAGGAAAGUUGAUAUCCAGUUCAAACACAAGUAUACUAAUAAAGCUCAUAUAAAACUAUGACAAAGAGAUAGUGGGGAACAUUAACCACAAACUCCAAAUGGAAUCAUACUCACUGGUUUUGAUUGAGAGAAAGAAGAGUUAAAACCUUAAGUGAUGAUAGACCUUCCCAACUUAUGUUCUCAUCCAACAAACCAUUGGCAUUGAUAAUUAAUUUCUAGAAGGAAAAUAGAUCAACAUUAGAACAUCUGCUAGAAAUUUGCUCCGUGCUUAGUAAAUAUAGCAUAAACAAGAUCUAGUAACUAAUAAGGGCUAGAUAGCCUUAAAAAAAGAUUUGACCACAUACUAACAUAAGAAUUAUUACAUUUAAAGAUUUUAGAGCACUGAUCUUAAUAGGAAUAUCUUGAAUAGAGUUGGUGCUGAUGUCCAAUACUCGUAUUGAGGAACCACAAGCCCAGACUUCUUCAGGUACUGCCUAUCAGUAGAAAAGCAAAUAUCUAAGAUCUCAAAGUUCCUCGUAAGAGAACACGCAAUAAUAAAAAACAGAGAAGAUAAUUGUAAUCCUUAUAAAUGAGAAUACUCCAUUAAAAUUGAGUCUUGAGAGGAUCUUGCAGAUAUCAAAGGAGCACAAAUAUGCAUGUAGAAAUCAGCUCACAUAUGGAAGUUUCAGCAUAUAUGAUUCUAAUGGACCACAUAAAGGCCCAUAGUAGAAAUUAAACAAUAGAAGAGAAUAAAACUACACAAUGAUAAACAUCAAUUUAUAUGAAAGAAAGCUAGACAUCAAAAGGGGAACCUAAUAGUUUGUUCACACACAAGCAUAGAACGAAAUAGCCCUGAUUCAAAAAAGCAUCGGAAAGCAAACAGUUUUCAGCUAAGCACAUCUGCUAUUUGCAUUGAAAUUGGGUGCUCGCAGCUGCUGUCGGGCAUAACUCUCAAGUUCCUUAUUUGGAUGUCAUGGAACUUGCGGGAUCCAGCCAAAGUGGGCCUUACUUCAAGCAAACUCCAAAUGAGCAUGGAGAAAGUGACUUCAUGUUUCUCCACUUUAUUAACUCCAAACGCCCACUAAGUCAGCAUACUCCAAUAUAUACGGAAUGAAGACUUAUUUACCAACGAAAGUUUUGAACUGAGCUCAUGCACUAAGUAGACACUGUUGCUACAUAUUGCAUAAACAGUGCAGAUUUUUUUUUACCAAGGAAUCAUAGUGAAAGCAAACAAUAGAAAAUAAAAGGAAAACUGUCAAUGAGUUUACAUUAUACCUUCAGAUAGCACUCUGACAAGGCUACAACACCAGUUGAUCUCCAACGUUCAGACCGACUUUUAACGAUUACAGUCUGAGCUUUAUGGAUUUGGCUAUUUUUGGCAUCCAACUCCGCCCUAGUGUUGGUUGAUGGUGAAGUGACGGCAUCUUUGGUAACAGGACCAUCCUGUUCAAACAUUAGUGCAUUUAUCGAACUUGCAAACUAAAGAAGCUUAAAAAAUUAUGUUAUGCAUGGCCCAGCUCAAAAUAUAAGAUACAACAAGAAAAAUGAAUAAGUUUAGCAUGAAUAUAAGGCUCGAUAACUUUGAUUUCGCUCUGGCCCAAUUUCUUACAGUAAAUCACAGAAGAUUGCUGAAUUCAAAGCAUAAUUAAAAUAGAUGCAUAGUUAACUAUCAAAAAGACUAAUUUUCCAAUAUUUCACACCUCAAAACAUUAAAUACUACGGAAAAAUGAAUCAGAUUAAUCUUUAUCGGAUUCAGUCCACCGUGAUUUAGCUAACACACUUCGAUUUCCCCGAAUAAACCACAAAAUUGAAUGCGGAAGCAAUACAAAUAGGAAAUUUACCCCUUGAUGCAGGCCUUGAGAAGCGAUUAGCAUCAAUUUGGAUCCAUUCGUGAGUUGCUGCACCCUUAGACUUGAAUCGUCGGCGAGAACUUUUCCUGCGGUGGAGAUUAGGGUUUAUCCCAUCACCGAUCGUCCGUUCACCGCCGUCGGGAAGAUAUCAAGGAUGAGCGAUCUAGGGUUUGUGGCACGCACCUUUGAAGAUGAGCUUCUGGCCGCGGGGGAGGACGUUGGUGAGGGGCUGGAUUAGGGUUUUGAGGUCUCGGACGGUGGAGUCGGGGGAGACGGAGAGCGGAAGCGUGCGACCGGAGAAUUUGAGGUGGACGGUGAUGGUGGCGGGAUCCGGAGACGAUGCGUCGUCUCCUCCUUUCUCCAUCUCCAUGUCCAUCACUCUCGGUCUCCUCGAGCUCGUGUCGUGUCCGUGACACGUUCAAUAUUAUUACAAAACUGCCACAAAAUAAGUGUGGCAACUUAUAUAAAUUUCAUAAUUUUAUUAUUAUUAAAAAUUUAUUUAUUCGCCACCCUACACCUACAGGCUGCGUUUGGUUGGAGAACUAAAUUUUGGAGAACAACUUUUGUUGUUCCCGAGAACAGGGGAUAUUCCGGUACAAGAUAGAACAAUUGUAAAUUUGUGUUUGGAUGCAUUCGAGGAUAUUCUAGAGGAUAUCCUUAAUAGCGUUUGGAUAAAAAGUCUAGAACAACGUCUAAAUAUAUUUUUAAAAAUAAAAUAAUUAAUUUAUAUUAGUAUAUUUUAUAUAAAAUUAUUUAUAAAAUUAUUUCAUAUAGUAAUUUAUAAUAUAAUAUUUUAUGUAAGAAUCUAAUUUAAAAUAAUAUAUUUUAUUUUAUUAUAUAUAAUAAUUUAUUUUAUGUAAUAAUUUAUUUUCUAUAAUUUAUUCAUAAUAUAUUAAUGAAUAAAGUAUACAUACUAACAAUAUCCCUAUAUUUUUAAUUAAUAAUUAGUAUAAAUUUUAAUACAAAUAAAAAAAUAUAUAUAUAAUUAAAUAUAAAGUAUAAUGAUGAGAUGUUUAAUAAAAUAAAAAAUUAUCAAUUUAAUUAAUUUAUAUUAUUAAUAAAUUUAAGUAUAAAUAUAUUAUCAUAAAAUUUAAGUAUAAAUUUCAAUACAAUAAUAUAUAUAUAGUAAUAUAGUAUUAUAUAUAUACUAUAUAUAUAUAUAUAUAUAUAUAAUAUGAUAAAAUGAUUUUUAUGUAUAUAUACAUCUAAUAUAAAAUAAAAUAAUUAAAUAUUAAUAUAUAAAUGAUAAACUUAAUAAAAUAAAAUACAUAUCAAAUUUAAUUAAUUUAUAUUAUAAUAUAAAAUUUAAGUAUAAAUAUAUUAUCAUAAAUUUAAGUAUAAAUUUCAAUACAAGUUAAAAUAUAUAUAUAAUAUAUGAAAAAUAAUUUUGUAUAUAAUAAUUAAUAUAAAAUAAAAUAAUUAAAUAUUAAUAAUAAAUAUAAAACUUAAUAAAAUAAAAUAUAUAUCAAAUUUAAUUAAUUAUUAUUAUAUAAUAAAAUUAAGUAUAAAUAUAUUAUCAUUAAAAUAAUAUUAUAUAAUAUAUAUUAUUUAUUAAAUUGUGCAUUCAUUUAAUUUAUUUGAAAUUAAUUAAUAAAGUAUAAAAAAUUAAAAGGCGAGAAACAAAAAAAAAAAGAAAAAAAAAAAGCCCAAACUCUUGUUCCGGCUUGUUCUCCCUUUUAGGGAGAACAAGUUUACCGGGUUGUUCCCGGCUUAACGGGUUGUUCCGGGAACAACCCGGUUGUUCCAAAAUGCUUUAUGUUUGGAGGGAUAUCCCGCCUUGUUCUGGGAUAUCCCUCCAACCAAACGCAGCCACAGUGUAUAAUUGGACGAGAAUAUAAUAUUUUUCUUCAAUAUUUUUAUUUUUUUCUGUAUAUGAAAAAAUUUAUAUUGCAAACAUAUUUUGAGCCUGUAAAAUUAUAAAAGUAGAAAUCAUAACUUUUUACUAAUUCUUAAUUUAAUUUAACAAGAUUAAAAGAAUUUUAAAAUAAAAAAAAUAAUAAUCUUUUUAACCAUAGUUGAACAUUUUAACACGCAAAACUUAACUAGACUAUGAAUCUUUUUAAAUUGCCUACCCAAUCUUUCAAAAUUUAAUUUUAUUAUUCAACCUUUCAAUUUAUUUGAUUUAAGUCAGUCAAUAAUACUUUGAUUUUAAAAUUUUAAUGUAUUGUUUAUUCUUAUAGAUUUAGUUAGUAAACUUUAUAUAAUUCUCUUAACUAAAAAAAUAAUUAAAAUAAGUAAUUGGUUUAAAUUUUAAAUCAAAUAUUAUUGGCUUAUUCAAAUCAAACAAAUUGAAAAUAUUAGAUAGCAAAUUUAAAAAUUUAAAAGGUUGUAUAACAAAAUUCAAAUGAUCAAUAAUAAUAAUUCACAUAAAUUAUGUACUUUUUAACAACAUUUUAAUCCGGGUCAAAGGGGUACACAACGGAUUUCAACAAAUGGGUUGGGCCUUCCUUAACGGCCCACUCUGAAACUUAUGGGCCUCCAUUAGGGCUCCACUCCUGAUGGUCUAGGGGCACGUGGCACCGCCGAGAAACAUUCGUUGUAUAUUCCUAGUCUAUAGAGACCGACUCGAAAAAGCGAUUUUUCUUAAAAUUUAUUGGUUAACAAAGCAUCGAAAACCAUUGGCUUACGAUUACGUGCUACACCGCGUGUAGGGAAUAGUUGCCCUAGAUUGCAAUCGUCCCCUCCCACACGUGCGAGACGACGCAUUUCAAAAAUUAGGGUUUCCGAUCGCUGCUCACGCGCCUCCCUCCCGCUUCCCCCGUCGAUUCGAAAACCCUUUUAAAAUCGCAACCACUCCCCCACCCCGACUCUUCUCGUCCCCCUCUCCCCCAUUCCCCAGUAGAGCAGAGAGAGCCGUGAGCGAAGGGCCACCAAAGAGCGGUGUGUAGUACUAAAUACUUCGAACGGUGGAGGAGGGGUUCGGACGCGCAUCAAUCGAUCGAAGGUAUCGACCACUCGAAUCCCUGAUCUAGGGUUUCUCCCUUUCUUUGGAUUCUAUUGUGUACGGUUUUUUUUUUUUUUUUUUUUGGGCUUGCGGAUUGAGUUCUCGGUUGAUCUGUUAGGGUUUAUGCUUGUUUUGUGGCUCGCGUGUUAGGGUUUCACUUCGGUAUAUAUGAGUAUGAACUCCUUUGGGCUCAGAUUAUGGUUGUUGUGGGCGUUCCUUUUUGAUACGGGGAUUCGGGGUUUAGGGUUUUUGUAUGUACGAUAGGGUUCUGUUGGAUUGGUCCUUCACCAUAAUCAGAUUGCACUUUUGUGGAAGUUUUACUCGUGUAAUGCAAUUUUCGAGGUCUAAUGCCACGUUCGCCUUUUUUAUUACUAGCACAGGAUGAUUUAUCUCUGCUGUUUUGCUUAAUCCGUUUUCAAUUUCAUUUUAAAUAUUGGUAUUUUACUGGGAAAUAUAUUGGUUCAGUAAGUAGAUGUGCUACUUUUUUGCAUGAGUUAUUGGAAUUGCUUUUCUUUGUAUUGUUUUUUAUAUUAUUGAUUGCCUUUUCCUUUGUUCUUUUGAGUACGCCUCGUCUGCUUGGAAAAAUUUUGUUAUGGUUUCACUGUGAUGGUGGCUUAGGAAACAAUGUUUCCAUCAAGGCAUUAAUGGAUUUACUUGCGGAAAUGUUAAUUUAGUGUCUAGAAUGAUCUUAAAAUUCAGUUUUACUGUAUCAAUAAUUUUGGCAAAGGCUCUUCAUGAUGCUUGUUUUUCACUGUUAUAUAGGAUAGUGAAUACAAGCUUUGAGUUUGUCAAGUUUUAUUCUCAAAAUAUUUGUACUUUUUGUUUUUUUAUACCUUUACUGUAUGGCUACCAUGAGUAAUCCUAUUUCUUUCAUAUAAUUAUUAAAUUAAAUUAGAAUUUAAAUGACAUCUCUAUACAUUUUUACUUAAUUUUAUCUUUCAAUAUUUGUUCAUCUUAUGUAUCGACAUGAUUUAAAAUUUCCAAUCUAUUUAAUUAAUUUAAAUAGGUAAACCAAAAU
RNAcentral lists this long non-coding RNA (9303 nucleotides) under Ananas comosus (pineapple). RNAcentral describes it as "long non-coding RNA (ACOM_LNC041812)". Lineage: Eukaryota; Viridiplantae; Streptophyta; Magnoliopsida; Poales; Bromeliaceae. The record is from RNAcentral.